Molecule: ribosomal RNA, 468 nt
Filed under: uncultured bacterium
Lineage: Bacteria
Description: partial 16S ribosomal RNA
Rfam family: Bacterial small subunit ribosomal RNA
Source: RNAcentral
GACGAACGCUGGCGGCGUGCUUAACACAUGCGAGUCGAACGGAAAGGCCCUGCUUUUGUGGGGUGCUCGAGUGGCGAACGGGUGAGUAACACGUGAGUAACCUGCCCUUGACUUUGGGAUAACUUCAGGAAACUGGGGCUAAUACCGGAUAGGAGCUCCUGCUGCAUGGUGGGGGUUGGAAAGUUUCGGCGGUUGGGGAUGGACUCGCGGCUUAUCAGCUUGUUGGUGGGGUAGUGGCUUACCAAGGCUUUGACGGGUAGCCGGCCUGAGAGGGUGACCGGCCACAUUGGGACUGAGAUACGGCCCAGACGCCUACGGGAGGCAGCAGUGGAGAAUAUUGCACAAUGGGCGGAAGCCUGAUGCAGCAACGCCGCGUGCGGGAAGACGGCCUUCGGGUUGUAAACCGCUUUCGCCUGUGACGAAGCGUGAGUGACGGUAAUGGGUAAAGAAGCACCGGCUAACUACGUG